GACGAACGCUGGCGGCGUGCUUAACACAUGCAAGUCGAACGGUGAUGCGGAGCUUGCUCCGCGGAUCAGUGGCGAACGGGUGAGUAACACGUGAGUAACCUGCCCUUGACUCUGGGAUAAGCGUUGGAAACGACGUCUAAUACCGGAUAUGACUUACGGACGCAUGUUCUGUGGGUGGAAAGAUUUUUCGGUCAAGGAUGGACUCGCGGCCUAUCAGCUUGUUGGUGAGGUAAUGGCUCACCAAGGCGACGACGGGUAGCCGGCCUGAGAGGGUGACCGGCCACACUGGGACUGAGACACGGCCCAGACUCCUACGGGAGGCAGCAGUGGGGAAUAUUGCACAAUGGGCGCAAGCCUGAUGCAGCAACGCCGCGUGAGGGACGACGG
This 387-nucleotide ribosomal RNA is filed under the name uncultured bacterium. Its description in RNAcentral is "bacterial SSU rRNA". It matches the Rfam family "Bacterial small subunit ribosomal RNA", at positions 28 to 414 of the family's 1533-position model. The record is from RNAcentral.